ACACGUAGGGGGCGAGCGUUGUUCGGAAUCAUUGGGCGUAAAGGGCGCGCAGGCGGCGAGGCAAGUCCGGUGUGAAAGUGCUCGGCUCAACCGAGUGAUGCGCUGGAAACUGGAGAGCUUGAGAAGCAGAGAGGCAAACAGAAUUCCUGGUGUAGCGGUGAAAUGCGUAGAUAUCAGGAAGAAUACCAGUGGCGAAGGCGGUUUGCUGGCUGCAUACUGACGCUGAGGCACGAAAGCGUGGGGAGCAAACAGGAUUAGAUACCCUGGUAGUCCACGCCGUAAACGAUGAGUACUAGCUGUCGGGGGUUACCCCCCUCGGUGGCGCAGCUAACGCAUUAAGUACUCCGCCUGGGAAGUACGCUCGCAAGAGUGAAACUCAAAUGAAUUGGCGGGG
Molecule: ribosomal RNA, 394 nt
Filed under: uncultured bacterium
Lineage: Bacteria
Description: partial 16S ribosomal RNA
Rfam family: Bacterial small subunit ribosomal RNA
Source: RNAcentral